RNAcentral lists this ribosomal RNA (1134 nucleotides) under uncultured organism. Its description in RNAcentral is "bacterial SSU rRNA". It matches the Rfam family "Bacterial small subunit ribosomal RNA", at positions 18 to 1198 of the family's 1533-position model. The record is from RNAcentral.
CCUGGCUCAGGAUGAACGCUGGCGGUCUGCUUAACACAUGCAAGUCGAACGCAACCUUCGGGUUGAGUGGCGGACGGGUGAGUAACGCGUGAGAAUCUGCCUUGGGGUCGGGGACAACCACUGGAAACGGUGGCUAAUACCGGAUAAGCCUUUGGGUAAAAGAUUUAUUGCCCCAAGAGGAGCUCGCGUCUGAUUAGCUAGUUGGUGAGGUAAAAGCUCACCAAGGCAGCGAUCAGUAGCUGGUCUGAGAGGACGAUCAGCCACACUGGGACUGAGACACGGCCCAGACUCCUACGGGAGGCAGCAGUGGGGAAUUUUCCGCAAUGGGCGAAAGCCUGACGGAGCAAGACCGCGUGAGGGAGGAAGGCUCUUGGGUUGUAAACCUCUUUUCCCAGGGAAGAAGCUCUGACGGUACCUGAGGAAUCAGCCUCGGCUAACUCCGUGCCAGCAGCCGCGGUAAUACGGAGGAGGCAAGCGUUAUCCGGAAUUAUUGGGCGUAAAGCGUCCGCAGGUGGCGAUUCAAGUCUGCUGUCAAAGCACGGGGCUUAACUCCGUUAAGGCAGUGGAAACUGAAUAGCUAGAGUGCCGUAGGGGUAGAGGGAAUUCCCGGUGUAGCGGUGAAAUGCGUAGAGAUCGGGAAGAACAUCGGUGGCGAAAGCGCUCUACUGGACGGCAACUGACACUCAGGGACGAAAGCUAGGGGAGCGAAUGGGAUUAGAUACCCCAGUAGUCCUAGCUGUAAACGAUGGAUACUAGGUGUAGCUUGUAUCGACCCGAGCUGUGCCGAAGCUAACGCGUUAAGUAUCCCGCCUGGGGAGUACGCACGCAAGUGUGAAACUCAAAGGAAUUGACGGGGGCCCGCACAAGCGGUGGAGUAUGUGGUUUAAUUCGAUGCAACGCGAAGAACCUUACCAGGGCUUGACAUGUCCGGAAUCCCGGUGAAAGCUGGGAGUGCCUUCGGGAGCCGGAACACAGGCGGUGCAUGGCUGUCGUCAGCUCGUGUCGUGAGAUGUUGGGUUAAGUCCCGCAACGAGCGCAACCCUCGUCUUUAGUUGCCAGCAUUAAGUUGGGCACUCUAGAGAGACUGCCGGUGACAAACCGGACGAAGGUGGGGAUGACGUCAAGUCAGCAUGC